This 468-nucleotide ribosomal RNA is filed under the name uncultured bacterium. Its description in RNAcentral is "partial 16S ribosomal RNA". It matches the Rfam family "Bacterial small subunit ribosomal RNA", at positions 28 to 507 of the family's 1533-position model. The record is from RNAcentral.
GAUGAACGCUGGCGGCGUGCUUAACAUAUGCAAGUCGAACGGUGAAGGCGGAGCUUGCUCUGCUGGAUCAGUGGCGAACGGGUGAGUAACACGUGAGCAAUCUGCCCCUGACUCUGGGAUAAGCGCUGGAAACGGCGUCUAAUACUGGAUACGAGCUGCGAAGGCAUCUUCAGCAGCUGGAAAGAACUUCGGUCAGGGAUGAGCUCGCGGCCUAUCAGCUUGUUGGUGAGGUAACGGCUCACCAAGGCGUCGACGGGUGGCCGGCCUGAGAGGGUGACCGGCCACACUGGGACUGAGACACGGCCCAGACUCCUACGGGAGGCAGCAGUGGGGAAUAUUGCACAAUGGGCGAAAGCCUGAUGCAGCAACGCCGCGUGAGGGACGACGGCCUUCGGGUUGUAAACCUCUUUUAGCAGGGAAGAAGCGAAAGUGACGGUACCUGCAGAAAAAGCGCCGGCUAACUACGUG